GCAGGAGAGAAGGCAGGCGCAGAGCAGUGAGCGAGGCACGGCCAUGUUCCACCCACGCUGUCACUGCUAGCAGCUGCUUCCUGCCCCUCGCCUGCCACGACCUGAGCAGUCGCCGCACCCUCCGUGCCCCGCAGAAUGUGCGGCACGUGGGAGGCGCUCAUCCACCUGUUAAAUAGCAAACAGAGUUCUCAGGGAGUGUAGCACUAAUGCUGAAUGAAGCCCUUGCAGGAGGGAGCCUUCUGGACCUUUCUGCAGCCCGCCCAAUGGCGCACUGCGAGAACAUAUCCCCUCCAGUCAGUCCUCGAGUGGUGAUGUCCGUUAGUCAGUCUGCAGACACUGCUCCAGGGCCUGGGGAUGUGACUCGUGCACACUCACGCACGCUCUGUCCCCAUGCAGCACGUAAGCAACAAUAAAAGAAUGUAACAGGAGCUGCUGCCACUAUGAGGCCUCUCGUGGUCUGGGCCAGACCAGCUCCUCCCAAUGGCUCUCCUGCUCUUUUCUGUACCCCAUGGUCCCAGUUUGUCACCAAAAUGAUUGGUCCUGGGUAGGCACCUGGUUCAAGGGCAACAGUCCCUAGACUGGCCAAAGCCCUGUGACGUGUCGCCUGGCUCAGAAAGGGGCUUGGCCAACCUAACCCCCUCUCUUAGAAGUGUGUGACUCUGCAGGGCCUGGGGCAGCCAUUUGGACCAUGUGUGAGAGGCAAGACAGCUGUUUGAGAGUAGACUGGAAGAGAGAUGUGGGGGGUAUUUCAGAGAGACAGAUAAAGAAAUGGACACAGAGGCACAGAUACACACAAAAACAGACACAAAAAGACAGACAGGGAGUGGCCCGAACCAGACUGCCUCCUCGGCCUGGCUUUUUCCAGGCCCCUGUACAUGUAUGUACUCUCAACCCAGCUCCCUUCUGCCUGCUCUCACGAGACUGUGCUGCUUGUAACCAGGAGAGCUGACACGCUUCUGAAGAGGCCGAGAGAGCAUGUCCAAGGGCCCCCGGGAUAAAGAGGGCAGCUCAGCCAGCUCCUUCUCGAUGUCAGCCACGGUGACUCUGCGUGCACAAGAGAUGGCCUGGCCCCACCGCCGGCCCAGGGGCCGGGGCCCACCAGCGUUGAACCCCAGCCAUGAGGGAUGAGGAGGAUGCAGACCAGGCUCUUUCUCCCGCCUCCAGCAGGCUGUCUAGAGAGUCGAAGGCCUGGCCUGUCCCGGAGGUGGGUGUCCAGCAUCCUGGCCUGGGAGGCUUCUAGCAGCCCUGGCACUGAGCUGUUUUAAGAACCUGGGAAACUUCUACCAGCAACUUGAACUAGAUUUGGGCAACCUGAACAGCAGGCAUGAUCCAGGUGAAAGACAGUGGUCAGUUCAGAGCACAAGUGAACCAAAGCUGCCAUCACCUUCUCGACUGAGAAUAAGCGACGCCAGGACACAAGCUCCACGUGGCAAGGGCA
Molecule: non-coding RNA, 1438 nt
Organism: Equus caballus (horse)
Lineage: Eukaryota; Metazoa; Chordata; Mammalia; Perissodactyla; Equidae
Source: RefSeq, a predicted model, not a curated record